GUCAGUAACCCAGCCCUAAAGGGACUGGGCUUGUAAGAGAAAUCAAACAAGCUGUACUGACCAGUCUAAGUCUUAACUGACUACGUUUUUUGAGUCACGACACCGGAGAAUGCGUACGCCCCCGGCGUUGCCGAAGGCUAGCUAGUUUUCCGCUCUGUCGCUGGUGGUUAAACAGUUUUAAGGUCACUGAAACAGUGCUACUAGCCUAAAAAGCUCUUAAAACAUUGACGAAGCUAACAUUAC
Mastigocladus laminosus is the source of this 243-nucleotide non-coding RNA. NCBI's taxonomy places the organism in Bacteria, Bacillati, Cyanobacteriota, Cyanophyceae, Nostocales, Hapalosiphonaceae. The record is from Rfam.